This 253-nucleotide ribosomal RNA is filed under the name uncultured bacterium. RNAcentral describes it as "partial 16S ribosomal RNA". It matches the Rfam family "Bacterial small subunit ribosomal RNA", at positions 524 to 776 of the family's 1533-position model. The record is from RNAcentral.
UACGGAGGAUGCAAGCGUUAUCCGGAAUGAUUGGGCGUAAAGCGCCCGCAGGUGGCUAUGUAAGUCUGCUGUUAAAGAGUGAGGCUCAACCUCAUAAGAGCAGUGGAAACUACAUGGCUAGAGUGCGUUCGGGGCAGAGGGAAUUCCUGGUGUAGCGGUGAAAUGCGUAGAUAUCAGGAAGAACACCGGUGGCGAAAGCGCUCUGCUAGGCCGCAACUGACACUGAGGGACGAAAGCUAGGGGAGCGAAUGGG